This 342-nucleotide ribosomal RNA is filed under the name uncultured Coprococcus sp. RNAcentral's name for it is "bacterial SSU rRNA". It matches the Rfam family "Bacterial small subunit ribosomal RNA", at positions 28 to 339 of the family's 1533-position model. Lineage: Bacteria; Bacillati; Bacillota; Clostridia; Lachnospirales; Lachnospiraceae. The record is from RNAcentral.
GAUAAACGCUGGCGGCGUGCUUAACACAUGCAAGUCGAACGGAGUAUUUCUCCCGAGACCGAGGAAGCUUGCUUCCAAAGAAUCAUUUGAAAUACUUAGUGGCGGACGGGUGAGUAACGCGUGGGUAACCUGCCUCACACUGGGGGAUAGCAGUUGGAAACGACUGAUAAUACCGCAUAAGCGCACAAUACCGCAUGGUAUGGUGUGAAAAACUCCGGUGGUGUGAGAUGGACCCGCGUCUGAUUAGCCAGUUGGCGGGGUAACGGCCCACCAAGGCUACGAUCAGUAGGGGUUCUGAGAGGAAGGUCCCCCACAUUGGUACUGAGACACGGACCAAACUCC